GAGGGUCUAGCUCAGUGGUAGAGUGCGUGCUUAGCAUGCAUGAGGUCCUGGGUUCAAUCCCCGGUACCUCCU
RNAcentral lists this transfer RNA (72 nucleotides) under Camelus bactrianus (Bactrian camel). It matches the Rfam family "tRNA". Rfam says of the family: Transfer RNA (tRNA) molecules are approximately 80 nucleotides in length. Their secondary structure includes four short double-helical elements and three loops (D, anti-codon, and T loops). The record is from Rfam by way of RNAcentral. Lineage: Eukaryota; Metazoa; Chordata; Mammalia; Artiodactyla; Camelidae. RNAcentral also lists the same sequence under 1 other name.